AUUUAUAAAGGAUCAUCCUUUUUUUAGAA
Molecule: transfer RNA, 29 nt
Filed under: Philaethria dido
Lineage: Eukaryota; Metazoa; Arthropoda; Insecta; Lepidoptera; Nymphalidae
Description: partial tRNA-Leu
Source: RNAcentral